AUUUAUAAAUUAAAGUAAAAUAUACAGAUUUUUUAAAAAAUUUCGGAUUAGUAUUUACAAAUCCAGAGGUUUUCCCUCGGAUUUGAGUAUUUGUAAUAUCCAAACAAAUUCAUUCAAAUCCAAUAUAAAAUCAAAUUUAUUAGUAAAUCCGUACGAUUGAAUAACAUUUGAUUUGAUAUAGAAUUUAUGAAUCAUUAAACCAAUAACACAUGAUUUUAAUAUAGAUUUGAAAAUCAUAGAACCAAUAACACUAGAUUUAGUUCGGAUUUUCAAAUCCAUUAAAAUACAACAACCAAUAACUUCUACUUUGUUUCAUAUUUAAACGGUAUAAUUUAAUUUAUGUGGUUAAAUUCGAUUUAAAAAAAUUCCAGCGCAAAUAAUUAAGUGAUUGGAUUAGAAAUAGCUAAAAACUUAAUCUUCUAUUAUUAUAUAAUAGUGUUUGAUUCAUUUCUAGGGGGUCCACGUCGGAUCCAGUCUGGAAACUCGCUUCAUGUACGCGGCCACGUGUCUACCUUCUCUCCUCGUCGUUUCAUUAAACGAAUUCGUCUUGGGCUUUUUUUUUUUUUGUAAUCGGGAAGAAUUCGUGAUGGACUUCGACGAUAGAUGUGGCUUUCUUUGUGGGUUUAGGCUUUAUAUUGUAGCCUGUCUGUUAAUACCCUUAAAAAGUGUCGUUUUGUAAAUUAGGGUUCAUCGCCUUCUUUUCUUUUCCGCCGUUAGAGAAAAUUGAGAUGGGGUUUCGAUUUUGACGUUUGAUAUUCGUCUUCUUCAACAUAAAUGCUCCCACUACAGAUUCAUCCCGUUAAGCCUCUUAUGAAAUCCAUCAACCACGAUCUAGCCUUUAAUGCAAGUUUCUUUUGUGCAAAGCGGAUGUUAUAAAAGCUAUGUUGGAGAGCUGUUCAAGAGUACUUCAAGGUUUAGCUUUCAACACUGUUGCGUGGAAUGAUUCUGUUAUCUUUGUAGACAAAAGUAUGAGAUGACUUCUUAUAGGUUUUACAGUCUACUUCUAUGUUUGUUCUUUUUCCUUCUGUUCUCUUAUAUCUCGUGUAAAUUUAAGUGAGAUAAAAAUCAAUGUACAAUCUAGAAAUAAUGUAUUUACUUUUUUUUU
Molecule: long non-coding RNA, 1105 nt
Organism: Brassica napus (rape)
Lineage: Eukaryota; Viridiplantae; Streptophyta; Magnoliopsida; Brassicales; Brassicaceae
Exons: 2
Source: RefSeq, a predicted model, not a curated record